Molecule: ribosomal RNA, 650 nt
Filed under: uncultured bacterium
Lineage: Bacteria
Description: bacterial SSU rRNA
Rfam family: Bacterial small subunit ribosomal RNA
Source: RNAcentral
ACGCUGGCGGCAGGCCUAACACAUGCAAGUCGAGCGGUAGAGAGAAGCUUGCUUCUCUUGAGAGCGGCGGACGGGUGAGUAAUGCCUAGGAAUCUGCCUGGUAGUGGGGGAUAACGUUCGGAAACGGACGCUAAUACCGCAUACGUCCUACGGGAGAAAGCAGGGGACCUUCGGGCCUUGCGCUAUCAGAUGAGCCUAGGUCGGAUUAGCUAGUUGGUGAGGUAAUGGCUCACCAAGGCGACGAUCCGUAACUGGUCUGAGAGGAUGAUCAGUCACACCGGAACUGAGACACGGUCCAGACUCCUACGGGAGGCAGCAGUGGGGAAUAUUGGACAAUGGGCGAAAGCCUGAUCCAGCCAUGCCGCGUGUGUGAAGAAGGUCUUCGGAUUGUAAAGCACUUUAAGUUGGGAGGAAGGGCAGUUACCUAAUACGUGAUUGUUUUGACGUUACCGACAGAAUAAGCACCGGCUAACUCUGUGCCAGCAGCCGCGGUAUACAGAGGGGUGCAAGCGUUAAUCGGAAUUACUGGGCGUAAAGCGCGCGUAGGUGGUUAGUUAAGUUGGAUGUGAAAUCCCCGGGCUCAACCUGGGAACUGCAUUCAAACUGACUGACUAGAGUAUGGUAGAGGGUGGUGGAAUUUCCUGUGUAGC